RNAcentral lists this ribosomal RNA (254 nucleotides) under uncultured bacterium. RNAcentral describes it as "partial 16S ribosomal RNA". It matches the Rfam family "Bacterial small subunit ribosomal RNA", at positions 524 to 776 of the family's 1533-position model. The record is from RNAcentral.
UACGUAGGGUGCGAGCGUUGUCCGGAAUUAUUGGGCGUAAAGAGCUCGUAGGCGGUCUGUCGCGUCGGUCGUGAAAACCUGCAGCUUAACUGUGGGCGUGCGGUCGAUACGGGCAUGACUGGAGUUCGGCAGGGGAGACUGGAAUUCCUGGUGUAGCGGUGAAAUGCGCAGAUAUCAGGAGGAACACCGGUGGCGAAGGCGGGUCUCUGGGCCGAUACUGACGCUGAGGAGCGAAGGCGUGGGGAGCGAACAGG